RNAcentral lists this ribosomal RNA (518 nucleotides) under uncultured Sphingobacterium sp. RNAcentral describes it as "bacterial SSU rRNA". It matches the Rfam family "Bacterial small subunit ribosomal RNA", at positions 9 to 524 of the family's 1533-position model. The record is from RNAcentral. Lineage: Bacteria; Pseudomonadati; Bacteroidota; Sphingobacteriia; Sphingobacteriales; Sphingobacteriaceae.
GAGUUUGAUCAUGGCUCAGGAUGAACGCUAGCGGCAGGCCUAAUACAUGCAAGUCGAGGGGCAGCACGGUAGCAAUACUGGUGGCGACCGGCGCACGGGUGCGUAACACGUAUACAAUCUGCCCUUAACAGGGGGAGUAGCCCGGAGAAAUCCGGAUUAAUACCCCAUAACAAUGGAGUUGGCAUCAACACUAUUUAAAAGUUCCGACGGUUAAGGAUGAGUAUGCGUCUGAUUAGCUAGUUGGUGAGGUAACGGCUCACCAAGGCGACGAUCAGUAGGGGAUCUGAGAGGAUUAACCCCCACACGGAUACUGAGACACGGAUCCGACUCCUACGGGAGGCAGCAGUAAGGAAUAUUGGACAAUGCCCGCAAGGGUGAUCCAGCCAUGCCGCGUGCAGGAAGACGGCCCUAUGGGUUGUAAACUGCUUUUGUACCGGAGAAAACCUCCCCUCGUGAGGGGAGCUGAUAGUAUGGUAAGAAUAAGCAUCGGCUAACUUCGUGCCAGCCGCCGCGGUAAU